This is a small nuclear RNA of 141 nucleotides. Its record names the gene U4. It matches the Rfam family "U4 spliceosomal RNA". From Rfam's summary of the family: U4 small nuclear RNA (U4 snRNA) is a component of the major U2-dependent spliceosome. The structure of U4 snRNA from yeast and human has been reported. The record is from Ensembl.
AGCUUUGCGCAGUGGCAGUAUCGUAGCCCAUGAGGUUUAUCCGAGGCGCGAUUAUUGCUGGUUGAAAACUUUACCCAAUACCCCGUCAUGACGACUUGAAAUAUAGUCGGCAAUGGCAAUUUUUGACGGUCUCUAAGGAGA